UCCCCGUUACCGAGGCAGUCUGUUUAGAAAAAUCCAACUAAACAUAAGGGUUGCGCUCGUUGAGGGACUUAACCCAACAUCUCACGACACGAGCUGACGACGGCCAUGCAUCACCUGUCACUCAGUUCCAAAAGGCACUCUCUACUUUCGUAGUGAUUCUGAGGAUGUCAAACCUUGGUGAGGUUUUUGGCUUAUCAUCCAAUUAAACAACACGCUCCACCGCUUGUGCGGGUCCCCGUCUAUUCCUUUGAGUUUUAAUCUUGCGACCGUACUCCCCAGGCGGAAUGCUUAACGCGUUAGCUUCGCAACGCACGGGGUCGAUACCGCACACUGCUAGCAUUCAUCGUUUACGGCGUGGACUAC
This 363-nucleotide unclassified non-coding RNA is filed under the name uncultured bacterium. RNAcentral's name for it is "contains 16S-23S intergenic spacer region". The record is from RNAcentral.